AGUGGCGACCGGGUGAGUAACACGUGACUAACCUACCUCCGAGUGGGGAAUAACUCCGGGAAACCGGGGCUAAUACCGCAUAACAUCGCAAGAUCAAUGCAGCAAUGCGCUUGGAGAGGGGGUCGCGGCUGAUUAGCUCGUUGGCGGGGUAACGGCCCACCAAGGCGAAGAUCGGUAUCCGGCCUGAGAGGGCGCACGGACACACUGGAACUGAAACACGGUCCAGACUCCUACGGGAGGCAGCAGUGGGGAAUUUUGCGCAAUGGGGGAAACCCUGACGCAGCAACGCCGCGCGGAGGAUGAAGCCCUUUGGGGCGUAAACUCCUUUCGACUCGGACGAUAAUGACGGUACGAGUGGAAGAAGCACCGGCUAACUCUGUGCCAGCAGCCGCGGUAAUACAGAGGGUGCGAGCGUUGUUCGGAAUUAUUGGGCGUAAAGGGCGCGUAGGCGGUGCGGUAAGUCACCUGUGAAAUCUCCCGGCUUANCUGGGAGUCUGCAGGCGAAACUACCGUGCUGGAGUGU
Molecule: ribosomal RNA, 523 nt
Filed under: uncultured bacterium
Lineage: Bacteria
Description: bacterial SSU rRNA
Rfam family: Bacterial small subunit ribosomal RNA
Source: RNAcentral